AUUGAACGCUGGCGGAAUGCUUUACACAUGCAAGUCGAGCGGCAGCGCGGCCUUCGGGCUGGCGGCGAGCGGCGAACGGGUGAGUAAUGCAUCGGAACAUGCCCAGUCGUGGGGGAUAACACUUCGAAAGAAGUGCUAAUACCGCAUACGUCCUGAGGGGGAAAGCGGGGGAUCGCAAGACCUCGCGCGAUUGGAGUGGCCGAUGUCAGAUUAGCUAGUUGGUGGGGUAAAGGCCUACCAAGGCGACGAUCUGUAGCUGGUCUGAGAGGAUGAUCAGCCACACUGGGACUGAGACACGGCCCAGACUCCUACGGGAGGCAGCAGUGGGGAAUUUUGGACAAUGGGGGCAACCCUGAUCCAGCCAUUCCGCGUGAGUGAAGAAGGCCUUCGGGUUGUAAAGCUCUUUCGGCAUGAACGAAACGGUGGGCUCUAACAUAGUCCGCUAAUGACGGUACCUGAAGAAGAAGCACCGGCUAACUACGUG
Molecule: ribosomal RNA, 484 nt
Filed under: uncultured bacterium
Lineage: Bacteria
Description: partial 16S ribosomal RNA
Rfam family: Bacterial small subunit ribosomal RNA
Source: RNAcentral